RNAcentral lists this ribosomal RNA (252 nucleotides) under uncultured bacterium. RNAcentral describes it as "partial 16S ribosomal RNA". It matches the Rfam family "Bacterial small subunit ribosomal RNA", at positions 524 to 771 of the family's 1533-position model. The record is from RNAcentral.
UACGGAGGGUGCAAGCGUUAUCCGGAUUCACUGGGUUUAAAGGGUGCGUAGGUGGGCAGGUAAGUCAGUGGUGAAAUUCUUUGGGCUUAACCCGAAAACUGCCAUUGGAUACUAUUUGUCUUGAAUAUUGUGGAGGUCAGCGGAAUAUGUCAUGUAGCGGUGAAAUGCUUAGAUAUGACAUAGAACACCAAUUGCGAAGGCAGCUGGCUACGCAAAUAUUGACACUGAUGCACGAAAGCGAUGGGGGAUCAA